AAUCCUUCUUCCGGUUCUUUGCCUAGCCCACAGCAUUCCUGUAUUGCCCUUGGCAGAAAGAUUAAGGGCUGCUUUGUAGAGAGAGGCUCAGGUCUGAUGCUCUUUACUAUGGGAGCUUGGUACCAGCACCAAAGUCCAUCUGCCUGUCUCAGUUUGUAAGGAGUCCACCCCAAGAGCAGAGUCUACAGUGAUGCCACCCAACUGGCAAGUGGCCUGGCCGACAAGCCUUCUGAACACUGCUCUCAGACUCUGAAGUACCAACCAGUACCCAUCAAGACAGGGCUGACUUAUCAUGGCUUCCAAGGCCCUGCCUACCCCAGCCUCUCUGCCUGCUUCAGCUCCACUCAGAAUGAACUCAGUCCCAUCAAUGCAGACUCAUGCUGAACCCGGUCUGAAGCCCACACUUGACCGUCAAUCUAACCCAGCCUACUGCCCAAGCCCUUCAAGGCGGCUUCUCCUUGGAUAUCUUCAAGGAUAACUCACUUUCUCUCUCUCGACAUCAGGACCUGGCUGCAAGCGCCCUGCGUACCCUGCUGUUCCAGGCUCUUGUCAUGCCCUCCUGGGACCUCAGAUUUCUGACUCUCCUACUUGACAUCUCCAAAGGAGAUCCAAAAGGCCUUUCGGCAGAGCUUGUCUGAGUGUCUCCAUCUUAGUAAAUGGCACCUGAAUCUGGAAGCUUCCACUGGGCUAUCCCUCACCUUCAUUUUCCUAUCCAUCAGCAGGGCCUGAUGGCUCCUGACCUCAUGGAAGGUCCUGAUGCUGUCCCCUCCAACUCAUCUGCUCUUGUCUCGGGGAGGACCACUGUUAUCUCUCCUGAAAGAACAACAUUGCCUCCUGGGGCUACCUGCUGGCAUGGCAGACAGAAAACUUUUAGAAAAUGCAAGCCAGGAUUUUUAUGAUGUUUAUUUAUUUAGCAAUUGAUUGAUUGAUUGAUUGAUUGAUUGACUGAAGGUCUUGCUACGCUGCCUUGACCUUAAGUGAUCUUCCUGACUCUUAUAGAGAGAACUGCAGGUACCUGGCUUUGUGCCUAGCUCCCAAGCGUUUCUUUCUUUCUUUUUAAUUAUAUUUUUAUUUAUGUGUAUGAC
Molecule: long non-coding RNA, 1085 nt
Organism: Mus musculus (house mouse)
Lineage: Eukaryota; Metazoa; Chordata; Mammalia; Rodentia; Muridae
Product: predicted gene, 41198
Exons: 2
Source: RefSeq, a predicted model, not a curated record